This 253-nucleotide ribosomal RNA is filed under the name uncultured bacterium. RNAcentral describes it as "partial 16S ribosomal RNA". It matches the Rfam family "Bacterial small subunit ribosomal RNA", at positions 524 to 776 of the family's 1533-position model. The record is from RNAcentral.
UACGGAGGGGACUAGCGUUGUUCGGAAUUACUGGGCGUAAAGCGCACGUAGGCGGAUUUGUAAGUCAGGGGUGAAAUCCCGGGGCUCAACCCCGGAACUGCCUUUGAUACUGCGAAUCUCGAGUCCGGAAGAGGUGAGUGGAAUUCCGAGUGUAGAGGUGAAAUUCGUAGAUAUUCGGAAGAACACCAGUGGCGAAGGCGGCUCACUGGACGACUGUUGACGCUGAGGUGCGAAAGCGUGGGGAGCAAACAGG